UACGGAGGAGGCAAGCGUUAUCCGGAAUUAUUGGACGUAAAGCGUCCGUAGGUGGCUCUUCAAGUCUGCUGUCAAAGAGUGGGGCUUAACCUUGCCAAGGCAGUGGAAACUGAAAGGCUAGAGAGCCGUAGGGGUAGAGGGAAUUCCUGGUGUAGCGGUGAAAUGCGUAGAUAUCAGGAGGAACACCGGUGGUGUAGACGGCUUUCUGGACCGUAACUGACGCUGAGACACGAAAGCGUGGGUAGCAAACAGG
RNAcentral lists this ribosomal RNA (253 nucleotides) under uncultured bacterium. RNAcentral's name for it is "partial 16S ribosomal RNA". It matches the Rfam family "Bacterial small subunit ribosomal RNA", at positions 524 to 776 of the family's 1533-position model. The record is from RNAcentral.